UGUGUGUUAGUGGAAGCGUCUGGAAAGGCGCGCGAUACAGGGUGACAGCCCCGUACACAAAAAUGCACAUGCUGUGAGCUCGAUGAGUAGGGCGGGACACGUGGUAUCCUGUCUGAAUAUGGGGGGACCAUCCUCCAAGGCUAAAUACUCCUGACUGACCGAUAGUGAACCAGUACCGUGAGGGAAAGGCGAAAAGAACCCCGGCGAGGGGAGUGAAAAAGAACCUGAAACCGUGUACGUACAAGCAGUGGGAGCCUCUUUUAUGGGGUGACUGCGUACCUUUUGUAUAAUGGGUCAGCGACUUAUAUUCUGUAGCAAGGUUAACCGAAUAGGGGAGCCGAAGGGAAACCGAGUCUUAACUGGGCGUUAAGUUGCAGGGUAUAGACCCGAAACCCGGUGAUCUAGCCAUGGGCAGGUUGAAGGUUGGGUAACACUAACUGGAGGACCGAACCGACUAAUGUUGAAAAAUUAGCGGAUGACUUGUGGCUGGGGGUGAAAGGCCAAUCAAACCGGGAGAUAGCUGGUUCUCCCCGAAAGCUAUUUAGGUAGCGCCUCGUGAAUUCAUCUCCGGGGGUAGAGCACUGUUUCGGCAAGGGGGUCAUCCCGACUUACCAACCCGAUGCAAACUGCGAAUACCGGAGAAUGUUAUCACGGGAGACACACGGCGGGUGCUAACGUCCGUCGUGAAGAGGGAAACAACCCAGACCGCCAGCUAAGGUCCCAAAGUCAUGGUUAAGUGGGAAACGAUGUGGGAAGGCCCAGACAGCCAGGAUGUUGGCUUAGAAGCAGCCAUCAUUUAAAGAAAGCGUAAUAGCUCACUGGUCGAGUCGGCCUGCGCGGAAGAUGUAACGGGGCUAAACCAUGCACCGAAGCUGCGGCAGCGACGCUUAUGCGUUGUUGGGUAGGGGAGCGUUCUGUAAGCCUGUGAAGGUGUGCUGUGAGGCAUGCUGGAGGUAUCAGAAGUGCGAAUGCUGACAUAAGUAACGAUAAAGCGGGUGAAAAGCCCGCUCGCCGGAAGACCAAGGGUUCCUGUCCAACGUUAAUCGGGGCAGGGUGAGUCGACCCCUAAGGCGAGGCCGAAAGGCGUAGUCGAUGGGAAACAGGUUAAUAUUCCUGUACUUGGUGUUACUGCGAAGGGGGGACGGAGAAGGCUAUGUUGGCCGGGCGACGGUUGUCCCGGUUUAAGCGUGUAGGCUGGUUUUCCAGGCAAAUCCGGAAAAUCAAGGCUGAGGCGUGAUGACGAGGCACUACGGUGCUGAAGCAACAAAUGCCCUGCUUCCAGGAAAAGCCUCUAAGCAUCAGGUAACAUCAAAUCGUACCCCAAACCGACACAGGUGGUCAGGUAGAGAAUACCAAGGCGCUUGAGAGAACUCGGGUGAAGGAACUAGGCAAAAUGGUGCCGUAACUUCGGGAGAAGGCACGCUGAUAUGUAGGUGAAGCGACUUGCUCGUGGAGCUGAAAUCAGUCGAAGAUACCAGCUGGCUGCAACUGUUUAUUAAAAACACAGCACUGUGCAAACACGAAAGUGGACGUAUACGGUGUGACGCCUGCCCGGUGCCGGAAGGUUAAUUGAUGGGGUCAGCGCAAGCGAAGCUCUUGAUCGAAGCCCCGGUAAACGGCGGCCGUAACUAUAACGGUCCUAAGGUAGCGAAAUUCCUUGUCGGGUAAGUUCCGACCUGCACGAAUGGCGUAAUGAUGGCCAGGCUGUCUCCACCCGAGACUCAGUGAAAUUGAACUCGCUGUGAAGAUGCAGUGUACCCGCGGCAAGACGGAAAGACCCCG
Molecule: ribosomal RNA, 1782 nt
Filed under: Escherichia coli
Lineage: Bacteria; Pseudomonadati; Pseudomonadota; Gammaproteobacteria; Enterobacterales; Enterobacteriaceae
Description: partial 23S ribosomal RNA
Rfam family: Bacterial large subunit ribosomal RNA
Source: RNAcentral